Molecule: non-coding RNA, 106 nt
Organism: Cherax quadricarinatus
Lineage: Eukaryota; Metazoa; Arthropoda; Malacostraca; Decapoda; Parastacidae
Source: RefSeq, a predicted model, not a curated record
AUGUACUUGCUUUGGCAUACUAACUAAAAUUGGAACAAUACAAAAAAAAUUUUAGCUCCCCCCUGCGAAGGAUGACCCCAAAAAACGUGAAGCUUUCCCCUUUUUU